This 462-nucleotide ribosomal RNA is filed under the name uncultured bacterium. RNAcentral describes it as "partial 16S ribosomal RNA". It matches the Rfam family "Bacterial small subunit ribosomal RNA", at positions 29 to 523 of the family's 1533-position model. The record is from RNAcentral.
AGCGAACGCUGGCGGCAGGCCUAAUACAUGCAAGUCGAACGGCUCUUCGGAGCAGUGGCGGACGGGUGAGUAACACGUGGGAACGUGCCCUUUGGUACGGAACAACUGAGGGAAACUUUAGCUAAUACCGUAUGUGCCCCCAUUCUUAGCGGGAUGGGUGGGAAAGAUUUAUCGCCAUUGGAGCGGCCCGCGUUGGAUUAGCUAGUUGGUGGGGUAAAGGCCCACCAAGGCUACGAUCCAUAGCUGGUCUGAGAGGAUGAUCAGCCACACUGGGACUGAGACACGGCCCAGACUCCUACGGGAGGCAGUAGUAGGGAAUCUUGCGCAAUGGGCGAAAGCCUGACGCAGCCAUGCCGCGUGAAUGAUGAAGGUCUUAGGAUUGUAAAAUUCUUUCACCGGGGAAGAUAAUGACGGUACCCGGAGAAGAAGCCCCGGCUAACUUCGUGCCAGCAGCCGCCGUAA